RNAcentral lists this unclassified non-coding RNA (147 nucleotides) under soil metagenome. Its description in RNAcentral is "partial internal transcribed spacer 1". The record is from RNAcentral.
CCGAGUUUACAACUCCCAAACCCCUGUGAACAUACCACUUGUUGCCUCGGCGGAUCAGCCCGCUCCCGGUAAAACGGGACGGCCCGCCAGAGGACCCCUAAACUCUGUUUCUAUAUGUAACUUCUGAAUAAAACCAUAAAUAAAUCA